Molecule: ribosomal RNA, 495 nt
Filed under: uncultured bacterium
Lineage: Bacteria
Description: partial 16S ribosomal RNA
Rfam family: Bacterial small subunit ribosomal RNA
Source: RNAcentral
UGAACGCUGGCGGCGUGCCUAAUACAUGCAAGUCGAGCGAACGGACGAGAAGCUUGCUUCUCUGUUGUUAGCGGCGGACGGGUGAGUAACACGUGGAUAACCUACCUAUAAGACUGGGAUAACUUCGGGAAACCGGAGCUAAUACCGGAUGAUAUUUUGAACCGCAUGGUUCAAAAGUGAAAGACGGUCUUGCUGUCACUUAUAGAUGGAUCCGCGCUGCAUUAGCUAGUUGGUAAGGUAACGGCUUACCAAGGCAACGAUGCAUAGCCGACCUGAGAGGGUGAUCGGCCACACUGGAACUGAGACACGGUCCAGACUCCUACGGGAGGCAGCAGUAGGGAAUCUUCCGCAAUGGGCGAAAGCCUGACGGAGCAACGCCGCGUGAGUGAUGAAGGUCUUCGGAUCGUAAAACUCUGUUAUUAGGGAAGAACAUAUGUGUAAGUAACUGUGCACAUCUUGACGGUACCUAAUCAGAAAGCCACGGCUAACUACGUG